RNAcentral lists this ribosomal RNA (253 nucleotides) under uncultured Lactobacillus sp. Its description in RNAcentral is "partial 16S ribosomal RNA". It matches the Rfam family "Bacterial small subunit ribosomal RNA", at positions 524 to 776 of the family's 1533-position model. The record is from RNAcentral. Lineage: Bacteria; Bacillati; Bacillota; Bacilli; Lactobacillales; Lactobacillaceae.
UACGUAGGUGGCAAGCGUUAUCCGGAUUUAUUGGGCGUAAAGCGAGCGCAGGCGGUUGCUUAGGUCUGAUGUGAAAGCCUUCGGCUUAACCGAAGAAGUGCAUCGGAAACCGGGCGACUUGAGUGCAGAAGAGGACAGUGGAACUCCAUGUGUAGCGGUGGAAUGCGCAGAUAUCGGGAAGAACACCGAUGGCGAAGGCAGAUCUCUGGGCCGCAACCGACGCUGAGGCGCGAAAGCUAGGGGAGCGAACAGG